RNAcentral lists this transfer RNA (72 nucleotides) under Camelus bactrianus (Bactrian camel). It matches the Rfam family "tRNA". From Rfam's summary of the family: Transfer RNA (tRNA) molecules are approximately 80 nucleotides in length. Their secondary structure includes four short double-helical elements and three loops (D, anti-codon, and T loops). The record is from Rfam by way of RNAcentral. Lineage: Eukaryota; Metazoa; Chordata; Mammalia; Artiodactyla; Camelidae. RNAcentral also lists the same sequence under 2 other names.
GAGGGUAUAGCUUAGUUGUAGAGCACAUGCUUAGCAUGCACGCGGUCCUGUGUUCAAUCCCCAGUACCUCCA